UUUAAUCUCUUCUUCUCGAUCAGAUUCAGUUGGUCGUAACGACUCUGAAUCCAUUCAGCAUCAGUCAACUUGGGACUUUGAGGGUGCUUUUUUCUUUUGUUUCUUUCUUUCUUUUUCUUUCUUUUUCUUUCUUUUGAUUUCUUUUGAUUUCUUUUGAUUUUGCACCCUCCUCUUUCUUUUUUUUUGUUUCUUUUUUGUUUUUUGUAAUGCCCCAGUUGGCUGUUCUGCUGAUUCUCGAGAUGCAGCUGAGUGAUCUUCUUUUCUUGCUCAAGAAGUCGGGAAUCU
This 285-nucleotide long non-coding RNA is filed under the name Lathyrus oleraceus (garden pea). RNAcentral describes it as "Pisum sativum (pea) long non-coding RNA (PSAT_LNC036444)". Lineage: Eukaryota; Viridiplantae; Streptophyta; Magnoliopsida; Fabales; Fabaceae. The record is from RNAcentral.